UGUGAUGCCUAACUUUAAGCUUCAAUAAACCCCAUAAAUACUCUAUGAGGUUUAGGUCCGGAGAUUGGGCAGGCCAGUCCAGGAGCUCUAUAUUGUUUUCUCAAAACCAAGUCAUUGUGCGGAUAACCUAAGACAUUUUUAGGGUGUUCAAUAUUUUUGGCCAAGACUGUAUAUAAAAUAAAUAAGUCUAAUAAUAUCUAUCUCCUUAUACCUAUCUCGUUUUUUACAAGUAAAUGUUUCCCAUACACGAGCUUCCUGUACAGUUUUUCCUUUCUUCGCUAUCAUCCUGAUUAUUGCUUUAUUCCACGUGUCUCUCAGUCUUCCCCUCCUGCGUUCUCUGUAGAUAUCCCCACCAACUUAGCAGCCUCUUUUCGAUAAAAUCGCUCACGGCCUCGAUAUUUAAAUCUUUCCUUAUGUCAUAUUGUCUCUCUUUACACGUAUUACAAUAAGUAUGUUGUUGUAUUAUAAUAAUAUAAUAUCGAUAAUAAGAAAUUAAAUUGAAAUAAACCAAAUAAAUUAUAUAUAUAUAACCAACAUUGCGUUUACAUCCUCCACAAUUUUUAAGAUCGGAUCGUGUCGGGAGGACAGAUGAAUCGCAAAACUUCGCAAUGGGCUAUUUUUAAGGUCGAAUGGGAAAAACGCUCGAACAUAGCGUAGCCGGUCCCAUCCUUUCAGUGCCAAAGUAUUCGGCGUGAUCAAAAAACCAAUACUAGUUAGUAUCGUUUCGCUCAAUCAACGUAACUCAUUUGAUUUUUUAAUUAAGGUUAACUCGGUUUGAAUUAGAAGUGAAAUCAUCGUUUGAGUCAUCUUUAACCCAAACAAUAAAGUGAUAAGAACGAUUUCAGGAAUAGGAAGAAAAAGGCUUCAAAAUUAAUCUUAAACUCGCAAAACGCCGUAAAAGGCGUAACAACAAUCAUCAAAGUAA
Molecule: non-coding RNA, 925 nt
Organism: Onthophagus taurus
Lineage: Eukaryota; Metazoa; Arthropoda; Insecta; Coleoptera; Scarabaeidae
Source: RefSeq, a predicted model, not a curated record